RNAcentral lists this ribosomal RNA (389 nucleotides) under Ateuchosaurus pellopleurus. RNAcentral's name for it is "partial 12S ribosomal RNA". It matches the Rfam family "Bacterial small subunit ribosomal RNA", at positions 830 to 1388 of the family's 1533-position model. The record is from RNAcentral. Lineage: Eukaryota; Metazoa; Chordata; Lepidosauria; Squamata; Scincidae.
GCUUAGCCCUUAACACAGACAGUAACAACACACUAUUGUCCGCCAGAGAACUACGAGCGAAAAACUUAAAACUCCAAGGACUUGGCGGUUCUCCACACCAGCCUAGAGGAGCCUGUCCUAUAAUCGAUACCCCACGUUAUACCUCACCACCCCUUGCAACCCCAGCCUAUAUACCGCCGUCGUCAGCCUACCUUGUGAAAGAAAAACAGUAGGCAAAACAGUAAACUACUAAAACGUCAGGUCAAGGUGUAGCCAAUGAGGUGGAAGAGAUGGGCUACAUUUUCUAAUAAAGAAAACACGAAUAGCGCCAUGAAACAGGCGUUUGAAGGCGGAUUUAGCAGUAAGGUAUUAAGAAAGACUACCUAAAAUAUGCUCUGGAGCGCGCACAC